CAAACAUAGACAUCAUGGUUACAAGUGCUUACAAGUUGUCCAAAUCACACAGAACCACGCGAUCUGUCAAAACGAGAUGUUGUUGGCAAGAUGGCGGCUUGUGUGGAGAGGCAACGGGACAGACGAGACACACGUGUGUUUAUCUGCUGCAGAGAGACUGAUCAAGGAAUGCUUCCAUCACAGUCUUUGUAUCUUUUGUGGGGGAGCAGGACAUGCAAGGAAAGGUGACAUUUGUGAAAAAAAGGGAAACCCUGAAACAAAAGGAUAAACACAGCAGCAUCCUGGAAAUGGUCCAGUGACACAGAUGAGACGCUCCGUCACUCCACCUCUUACUGCCUCAUCUGGACCGGAUGUUGCUGUGGUCUCUUCAUUCUCAGUGACCCCAGAGCCAGCGAGAGCAUCUAGAGAAAGAAAGACCUGAAGUUUGUUCUGCUGGUUUCUGUUUAUACAAUGAAGGCUGACUUUUAGAAGCUUCAAAAGCAUCAUCCCAAAAUGUCAUGAAGCUUUUAUCUGAAAUGAUUUACAGUGCUCUUAUUACAGGGGUCUACAAUCCCCCGAUCAACCUGGAGGAAAGAGCCUUGCUCAAGGGCAUACUGAUGGUUUAGAACCCGCGACCUUCUGCUCACCAGUUCAGUGGUUUAGCCCACAACAAAAGUAAUAAAGCUACAACAAAAAAAGCAUGUAAUUGUAAACAUGAAAUGAAAUUUGUUAAUAAAUGGAAAGCUGACAACAUGAAUUGCACUGAAUUGCUCAUGGAGAGCAGACACACGAAUGUUUGGAGCAGGCAGAUUGUCCCGCACAUCUUCCCCUGCUCUUGCUUCAAGGUUGUGUGCUUCAGAGAGCUGUGGUCAUGGUCUUCCUCAUCCUCUUGCUCAACGUUGUCCCCACUGAGAAAAGUGAGAUUGUGAAGCACAGCGCAGCAGCAGAACUGGCACAGCUGUGUUGAGAUGGCAGGAGGAUGUGGGUUCACCAUCUGUAAAUAUAUGAUUGAAUGAAGCUUUGUUUCAUCUGUUGUUGACUUGUAUAUGUAUGUAUUUAUUGUGAUGCUUUUAUUCAUUCCUUUACUUAUUUAUUCAUGUUUCUUAUUGUUGUCAGUAAACAAAAUAUAAAUAUUUUUUUUAUGUAUUAAUUGCUUGACUGAAAAUUCAUGUAUUCACAUCGACUGCAUUUGUUUAACUAUUGUAUAUUCAUGUAUAGCUAUGUCACGACAAAAAAAAUACAUUUAGCUUGUUUAACUAAAAUGUAAUUUUAAGAAAAAAAAAGUAAUAAUUAUUGGUUGGCAUUUAUCAUUAUUAUUGCAUGUAAGUGUUGGGGUGAGCAAACGAUGCAAUUCAUUCUGGGGUAAUCUUAAUUUUGAAGUAGUAAUAUUUACAUUUUUAGAGUAUAAAAUCAACAGUCUUCUCCAAAGUCAAGAUCUUCUAGCAGCUGAUCGACGUUUCCUUUGUGAUUUUACACAACCGUUCCAUAAAUAAGAAGUUAAUAUGAUGUUAUAUUUUAAAAUAUAACACAAUUCUAUGUAAGUUAUAUUACUGGGUUUUAUAUAUUAUAUACUAUAUCAUUGUGUAAUUAUAUUAUUGUGUUAUAUACAGUAUAACACAAUAUUGUCUGUUUUUGCUCUGUUUUGCCAAUAAAAAUAUUACCUAUACACUAAAGCCACAGCAGAAUUGUUGCGCAUCUCAUAGAGACACAGCUGUGUUUAGUUUUUGAAUGAAUCCGCGUUUUGAACGAAUCUGGUGAACCAAUGAUUCAAAAGCCCAUUCAUAAAGUGAGCCGUUUGAACUAAUCGAAUAAAUGAUUCAUAAGGACAUUUACCGCCACCUGCUGGCAGUUUUAGUGUCUUAUUUAGAGUAUUAUUUCACAAAAAUAAAAAAAGGGGGGGGGAUAAAAACACUUUAAAGGUAUUGUUCAUCCCAAAAAUAUUAAUUAUGUCAUCAUUUACUCAAACCUGAAUGACACUUUCUUUUGUGGAACAUAAAAAGGUAUUUUGAAGAUUUGGUUACCAACGACUUCCAUUGCAUGAAUGAAAAAACUGAGAUGUUUCUCAAAUUAUCUUCUUUUAUGUUGAAUAGUUUAUGUAAAGCCGUUGUAGCCUAAACGUGUAAUAAAAUUUAUGUUAAAUGAAAUAAUUUCUUUUUUGGGGGGUAUUUUCACAACCAAAUGUAGUUUGUGAUUAAUUAGAUCAAUUAAUCGACACAGUGUAAUUCAUAAGAUGAAAAAUAUGUAUCAACUGACA
Cyprinus carpio (common carp) is the source of this 2233-nucleotide long non-coding RNA. RefSeq lists it as uncharacterized. The record is from RefSeq and is a predicted model, not a curated record. NCBI's taxonomy places the organism in Eukaryota, Metazoa, Chordata, Actinopteri, Cypriniformes, Cyprinidae. The transcript has 4 exons.